This 896-nucleotide ribosomal RNA is filed under the name uncultured bacterium. RNAcentral's name for it is "bacterial SSU rRNA". It matches the Rfam family "Bacterial small subunit ribosomal RNA", at positions 26 to 896 of the family's 1533-position model. The record is from RNAcentral.
AGAAUGAACGCUGGCGGCGUGCCUAACACAUGCAAGUCGAACGAGAAAGCAGACUUCGGUCUGCAAGUAAAGUGGCAUACGGGUGAGUAACACGUGGGUAACCUGCCCGGAGGUGGGGGACAACUCUUCGAAAGGAGAGCUAAUACCGCAUAACAUCCCGAGUACUUCGGUACACGGGAUCAAAGUUUGCCUCUGUUUCAUGCAAACGCCACCGGAGGGACCCGGGUCCCAUUAGCUUGAUGGUGAGGUAACGGCUCACCAUGGCGACGAUGGGUAGUCGGCCUGAGAGGGUGAUCGGCCACACUGGAACUGAGACACGGUCCAGACUCCUACGGGAGGCAGCAGUGAGGAAUUUUGCGCAAUGGGGGAAACCCUGACGCAGCGACGCCGCGUGGAGGACGAAGGCCUUCGGGUCGUAAACUCCUGUCAAGAGGGACGAAUCCCUGGCGAAUGAAUAAGUCGACAGGUUGACGGUACCUCUGAAGGAAGCCCCGGCUAACUCCGUGCCAGCAGCCGCGGUAAUACGGAGGGGGCAAGCGUUGUUCGGAAUUAUUGGGCGUAAAGGGCACGUAGGCGGUCAGGCAAGUUGGUGGUGAAAGCCCUCGGCUCAACCGGGGAAUUGCCCCCAAAACUGCCUGACUUGAGUCCCGGAGAGGGUGGCGGAAUUCCCAGUGUAGCGGUGAAAUGCGUAGAUAUUGGGAGGAACACCAGUGGCGAAGGCGGUCACCUGGACGGGUACUGACGCUGAGGUGCGAAAGCGUGGGGAGCAAACAGGAUUAGAUACCCUGGUAGUCCACGCUGUAAACGUUGAACACUUGGUGUUGCGGGUAUCGACCCCUGCAGUGCCGAAGCUAACGCAUUAAGUGUUCCGCCUGGGGAGUACGGUCGCAAGGCUG